This 287-nucleotide ribosomal RNA is filed under the name uncultured bacterium. Its description in RNAcentral is "partial 16S ribosomal RNA". It matches the Rfam family "Bacterial small subunit ribosomal RNA", at positions 71 to 353 of the family's 1533-position model. The record is from RNAcentral.
AAGAAAGCUUGCUUUCUUUUGCUGGCGACCGGCGCACGGGUGAGUAACACGUAUCCAACCUACCCUUUACUCGGGGAUAGCCUUUCGAAAGAAAGAUUAAUACCCGAUAGCAUAAUGAUUCCGCAUGGUUUCAUUAUUAAAGGAUUCCGGUAAAGGAUGGGGAUGCGUUCCAUUAGGUUGUUGGUGGGGUAACGGCCCACCAAGCCUUCGAUGGAUAGGGGUUCUGAGAGGAAGGUCCCCCACAUUGGAACUGAGACACGGUCCAAACUCCUACGGGAGGCAGCAUG